CAUUGUUCUCGGGAAGAAAUCUGAUAUUCUCAAGUAGCCCUCGACACCUUCACUGGCUGCCUCCCUUUUCUUUCUCUGUUCUUGCCCACAGCCUCUGAGGACUAACUUCUAGAGAUUGGGAAAGCCACAUGGAGGAAGAGAGACAUACAAAGGAUUUUACAGGAAGUGUGAAUUCUGGUGAAUGGAUAUGGAAAAAAAGACAUUUUUGCUUGCACAAUUUGUGGAGAUGGGAGUAUAUAUAUAGCACUGGAGGAUGAAGAAGUCUGAGUACGUGGAAUAAAGGAUGCUUUACGGGGACUGUGGCAAGGAAAGUCUGGGUCAUCAUUAGUAGAAUCUGUUCUCAUUAUUAGUAGCACUAGAGUGAGGUU
This 368-nucleotide long non-coding RNA is filed under the name Homo sapiens (human). Its description in RNAcentral is "non-protein coding lnc-KCNS3-6:1". The record is from RNAcentral. Lineage: Eukaryota; Metazoa; Chordata; Mammalia; Primates; Hominidae.